GGCCUAACACAUGCAAGUCGCACGAGAAAGGGCUUCGGCCCCGGUACAGUGGCGCACGGGUGAGUAACACGUGGGUAAUCUGCCCUCGAGCGGGGGAUAACAUUCCGAAAGGAGUGCUAAUACCGCAUAAGACCACGCCUCCGAAAGGAGAAGCGGUCAAAGCUGGCCUCUAUACAUAAGCUAGCACUCGAGAAUGAGCCCGCGGAGCAUCAGCUAGUUGGUGAGGUAAUGGCUCACCAAGGCUUAGACGCUUAGCUGGUCUGAGAGGAUGAUCAGCCACACUGGAACUGAGACACGGUCCAGACUCCUACGGGAGGCAGCAGUGGGAAAUCUUGCGCAAUGGGCGAAAGCCUGACGCAGCGACGCCGCGUGAGUGAUGAAGGCCUUCGGGUUGUAAAGCUCUGUGGGGAGAGAAGAAUAAGUGCAGGCUAAUACCCUGCAUGAUGACGA
Molecule: ribosomal RNA, 450 nt
Filed under: uncultured bacterium
Lineage: Bacteria
Description: bacterial SSU rRNA
Rfam family: Bacterial small subunit ribosomal RNA
Source: RNAcentral